This 1044-nucleotide ribosomal RNA is filed under the name uncultured euryarchaeote. RNAcentral's name for it is "bacterial SSU rRNA". It matches the Rfam family "Archaeal small subunit ribosomal RNA", at positions 1 to 1054 of the family's 1478-position model. Lineage: Archaea; Methanobacteriati; Methanobacteriota. The record is from RNAcentral.
UCCGGUUGAUCCUGCCGGAGGUUGCUGCUAUUCGGAUUCGAUUUAGCCAUGCAAGUCAAUUCUCUUCGGAGGAUGGCGCAUCGCUCAGUAACACGUCGAUAAUCUGCCCUUAGGUCUGGAAUAAUCUCGGGAAACUGGGUCUAAAACCAGAUAGGAAAAUUUUACUGGAAUGUGCCUUUUCUGAAAGGUAACGCCUAAGGAUGAGUUGGCGGUCGAUUAGAUUGUUGGUGGGGUAGUGGCCCACCAAGUCCGCGAUCGAUACGGGUCCUGAGAGGGAUAGCCCGGAGAAGGACACUGAGAUACUGGUCCUAGCCCUACGGGGUGCAGCAGUCGCGAAACCUUUACAAUGCACGAAAGUGUGAUAAGGGAAUCCGAAGUGCUAACACAUUGUGUUGGCUUUUUUCAAUGGUAAAUACAUUGAAGAAUAAGUGGUGGGUAAGACUGGUGCCAGCCGCCGCGGUAACACCAGCGCCACGAGUGGGAACCACGUUUAUUUGGCCUAAAGCGUUCGUAGCCGGUUGAGUAAAUCUUCUGUGAAAUCGUUGUUCUUAAUGCAACGGCGUGCAGAAAACACUACUUGACUAGGAACCGGGAGGGGUUAGAAGUAUGCCAAGGGGAGCGGUAAAAUGCUAUAAUCCUUGGUAGACUACCUUUGGCGAAGGCGUCUAACUAGAACGGGUUCGACGGUGAGGAACGAAAGCUAGGGGAGCGAUCCGGAUUAGAUACCCGAGUAGUCCUAGCCGUAAACUUUGCGAGCUAGAUAUUGCAUAUUUUUCGUGAAUGUGCAGUGUCGAAGCGAAGGCGUUAAGCUCGCCGCCUGGGAAGUAUAGUCGCAAGACCGAAACUUAAAGGAAUUGGCGGGGGCUCACUACAACAGGCGCGGCGUGCGGUUUAAUUUAACUCCACACAGAGAAUCUCACCAGGGGCGACGGCAGAAUGAAAGUCAGAUUAAAGGUUUUACUUAACGAGCCGAGAGGUACUGCAUGGCCGCCGUCAGCUCGUACCGUAAGGUGUCCGGUUAAGUCCGGCAACGAGCGAGACCCA